GCUCAUUAUCCAUUUGAAAAUCAUAAGCAUAGUAAAUCUGACUUGAGAACUGAUUAAUUUUGCAUUCUGGUAGCAUCACCUACUUGUAUGUGGUUUUAGGAGGGGCCACAGAAUUAUUAAUUUUAUUCUACUUUCUAGCACCAGUGUUGAAUGAACACCCUGAUUCAAUGGUCUUUGGACAGAAAACCAUCAGAGGGAUCUGUGUGCUGUGCAGAUGUCAGUGUCGGGUUGGGGAGGGUCCAGAUGGUAGAAUAAGCUUAGAAAAUAGUAUGAGCCACAUUAAAAAAUUGCAAAGAACGCUUUGGUAUUAUCCUAUAUGUCUUUAGCCUGAAGCAGAUACACAAAUUAAAUGUGGGGUGAAGAAAUCGACCCACUCACAACACUGCUGCACUUUCUUUUGCCACUUCAAUUUUUAAGAAUUAAGAAAUUUCAGUUAUCACCCAUUUCCUGCUGAACACAACCAUAUGAUCUACAAUCAAACCAAUAUAUAUUUCAGAUUAUUCCUAUAUGAACAGUUGCCUAACCCAUAUACCGUCCUCAUUUCAUUUAAUAGUUGCAUAACAGGAAAAUAUUAGCAGGUAUCAUUUUUCCCCAGAACAGCAUCUCCCUGGCAAUAAGAUCUGCAGCUGCUCAUUUCUGCUUAUUAUGCAGCAAUGGCAAGUGUAUGUUAAAAUUAUCUUUCUCUUCCAGCAGUGUAGGCUUGACUGCUUUCUCCUUAAACACUAUACUAGAUCUCAUUUGCUUUUGACAUAAGCUGCCCUGACUGUAGGCUGAUUCACACAACAACAUGCUGGCCUAUGUAAGAGUUUAUUUCACAGUGAAUUGUUGGUAUUUUUAAUAGUCUUGCAAUGCUUAAUAUGAUUCCAGAUGGCAACUCUCCACAUCUGACUCACUUUCUGAACGUUUUUCAGGAGGCAGAAAAUUGCGAUGUUUCGCCAUGUUGAAUGGGCCUUACGAAUGUCCAUGGCGGAAAUCACCAAAGAAAGCUCUGCUACGCUGGACUUGUGGCAUGGGAAAAGCAUCCCGGACGCCAGCUCAACACACUGCCUGAAUGAACUUGUACCUGCUUGGGCUCACAGACAUGUCUGCUAAAACCCUCUUUCCUAGACCAAGGGGUUCCUGCCACCGUACCUUGUUGUUUUGUUUUGAGCAAUUGCCUGAGUUUGGAGAGAAUUAACCACAGCUUAGAAUGACACUGAAUUUCAACAGGCGUAGGUGAUACAAUGAAUCUGAUUUCUGGUUUGAGGAAAAGGUGAAUUACCCUUUCAAAACUGUUGGUAAAACUCUUUUUAAGUGUAGGUCAUUCCUCAUUUCACUGACAACUUUGUACCAUUGUAGAAUGACACUUUGGUGUUUCAACAAUCCAUAAAUUAUCACAACAAUUUCUUUUGUUAGUGCAAUGCUUUCUUGAUUGAUCAAGUAAGUAUGAUGGAAAGACAUGCAUUUUCAGCACAAAUGCUGACUGAACUAUUGUGAUGGGUGCACUGAAAAACAUACACCAAACAUGCUGCAUGUCAGUCCGUGGAUGACAACUUCUGUGUUGAAAAUGAUGGAUGGUUUAAGUCAGUAGCAUACCCCUUCCUAUAACCAAAUAGCCAUUUAUCACUGAUCAAAGUUGCAAUGAGCCACAUCUGAUUCCAACCCCUGCCCCCCAAUUUCUGACAAAGCAUUAUACAUAUUUACAUUAGGAUCUCAGCUUGGAGGAUAGAUGGGAAAUAAUUUAUUAUAUUUCCUAUCAGCUUAGUUCAUAUAUAUCUUGGUCAUUAAUUGCUUCUUUAACCAAUCAGCUUUAAAGGCAUUAGAAACUCUUUUUCCUAUUUCCCCCCUCUCAGUUUAUUAUUAUACUAACAUUGACCCAAUGGCAAUCCCUUCAGUAGCUUCACAUCAUUGUUGAGGCCGGUGUUCUUUUCAGGCAACAAAUAUAUGUAGAAUCAAUGCAGGGGACAGGAGUGGUUUGUGCCCUCUGAACAGAGCUUAUGUACAUACAUGACCCAAUCGAUGCCCAAGUUGAAGAGGUUGGUUAAUGCAGGAAUUGGGCAUUAAGUGUGGUGACGUCUGCAGUUUGGAAUUUCCUCCUCUUAAAUAAUAGGCAGGCACCAUCUCUUGACUUUGGGUGCCUAAGACUUUCCUCUUUUAACAAGCUUUUUAAAUUGCAAUACUGAGAUUUCCCAGUCUGCGUCUGUAUUGGAAUUGCUUUAAGGUGUUUAAAUUAUUUUGUCACUUGUUUGUUGCCCUGGGCUCCACUGGGAGGAAGGAGGCAAUAUAAAUGGAAUAAUAUAUCAGUUUAUUGUGCCCCUUUCCCCAUGUUGAUUCUACACACAUUUGUUGUCUGAAUAGCAUUUGCAUAAACAGUGCUCCUAUUUCUUCACCACUGUUCCACCCCCUUAUUUCCUCUAUAGUGUCCAAGGCAGCAUACAUAAAGAUACCUACAUUUCACUCCCCACAAUGAGCUUGUGGGGUAGGUAAUUUGUGUAAGGCCACCCAGCAAGAUUCAUGGCUGCGGGAGAAUUUGAAUUGAGAUCUCUUCACUCUACUUCCAACCCUCUGUUUACUCCCAUACCAGACUGGAUCUCUGUUUAUCCAUUUGACAACAGGGAUAGCAAACUUCAUCCUUUAGCCUUAUUCCCCCCCCCUCCCCUUCUCAAAUGAAUAUGACAGAAAUGCACAGUGAUGCUUAUUUAUGA
This is a long non-coding RNA of Podarcis muralis (Common wall lizard), 2684 nucleotides long. RefSeq lists it as uncharacterized. NCBI's taxonomy places the organism in Eukaryota, Metazoa, Chordata, Lepidosauria, Squamata, Lacertidae. The record is from RefSeq and is a predicted model, not a curated record.